This 1318-nucleotide unclassified non-coding RNA is filed under the name Cotesia glomerata. RNAcentral's name for it is "uncharacterized LOC123265030, transcript variant X3". The record is from RNAcentral. Lineage: Eukaryota; Metazoa; Arthropoda; Insecta; Hymenoptera; Braconidae.
GACGGUAAAUGUACCAUAAAUUCACAGUGUCGACAAAUGAUCGUCGAAUGACCGUCACUUGACUAUCGAACGGCCGUCAUUUGACAGUGAACGACGAGUAUCAUUGUGAAAGUUUUUCACUGUUACUUUAUGAUUUUUAUUCUGUAUAGUUAUCAUACUUCACUAUUCGAAAAACCAAAUUUUUACUCGACUUCUCCGAUUUUUUACCUGAGUAAAAAUCGUAGAUCAUCGAUCGAUCGUCUGUCAUUUGACAGUCAUUCGAAAACAUAUAAAUUGUCAAAAAACCGUAACUCGGUGGUAGAUGCACAGUAGUCUGUGAGUGAAACGAGCGUAUAAUGUCGGAUCAACAGGAAGAAACUACUUACGGUCAUGAUUAUUGCACGCCACUGUGCAGUUGUACAACUAUAAUACGUGGAGAAGCUUUAUUAAUGACGCUUUUGUUAGGAGCAGAACGUUCCCUCACAUGGAAGGCGACUAGGGCAAUUUUAUCAAUGAUUAAUACUUUGUUUGGAGACGAAGUAGUGCCAGCUUCAAAGAUUAAAUUAUUUAAAUUAUUAAAUUUGAAUGAAAAUAUUGUAACUUAUCAUUUGUUCUGUGAAGGAUGCUCAAAUUAUUUUGGUGCUCAGAAUAAAUUAGACAAAAAAAAUAAAGUAUGUGAUGUAUGCAAAGACAACAACAAUCCUCCAGAAAUUUCAUAUUUUCUGACUUUCGAUGUUUCUUCACAACUAAAAAAUAUAUUAGAACAUGCAGAUGUGCGAAAAUUUUUAUUACAACGUUUUGCAAAUGAUGUCGAGAAUAAUUCAGAAAAGAAUUAUAUCUGUAAUAUGAGUGAUGGACGUUUGUACCAAAAUUUAUCAGCAGUGAACAGAACAAUAUGCAAAUAUUGUUCAAAAUAAUAACAAUUAUUCCAUCUCUUACAGACACACCAACAAUCAGAUCUACUGUAAAAUCGCCUUGUCCAUCAAACAAAAUUGGAUUUUGGAAACAAAAUAGAGUGCGAAAAAAUUUAAUUGCACGUGUGUAGUAAAGAAAAACUUGGUUUGAACAAUCUUAGAUUUACUUAUUUAAUUAUUAACUCGAUGGAAUAGUAUAGUUUUAAAAAAUUCCAUUAUUUGUAUGUGUUUUUUAUAGUUUUGUAAGUGAAUUUUUUUAAGUUCAUCAUAUAAUAAGUAGGAUUUAGAGUACUUUUCGCAAAAUGAUAUGCUUAUAUUACAUCAAAGAGAAUUAGAGAAUAAAACUUUGUCAAAUAAUGACUUAAUUUUGCGUUCAUAGCAUAAACUAUAAUGACUUUUAUAUUAUAAAAUUGUUACUAUAAUUA